CGACCGCUGGCGGCGUGCUUAACACAUGCACGUCGAACGGAAAGGCCCUGCUUGCAGGGUACUCGAGUGGCGAACGGGUGAGUAACACGUGGGUGAUCUGCCCUGCACUUCGGGAUAAGCCUGGGAAACUGGGUCUAAUACCGGAUAGGAGCCAUUUUUAGUGUGGUGGUUGGAAAGUUUUUUCGGUGUAGGAUGAGCUCGCGGCCUAUCAGCUUGUUGGUGGGGUAAUGGCCUACCAAGGCGGCGACGGGUAGCCGGCCUGAGAGGGUGGACGGCCACAUUGGGACUGAGAUACGGCCCAGACUCCUACGGGAGGCAGCAGUGGGGAAUAUUGCACAAUGGGCGCAAGCCUGAUGCAGCGACGCCGCGUGGGGGAUGACGGCCUUCGGGUUGUAAACUCCUUUCGCUAGGGACGAAGCUUUUUGUGACGGUACCUAGAUAAGAAGCACCGGCUAACUACGUG
This 463-nucleotide ribosomal RNA is filed under the name uncultured bacterium. RNAcentral's name for it is "partial 16S ribosomal RNA". It matches the Rfam family "Bacterial small subunit ribosomal RNA", at positions 30 to 507 of the family's 1533-position model. The record is from RNAcentral.